AGUAAAUAGAUACCCGGGUAGUCCACGCCGUAAACGAUGGGUACUAGGUGUAGGGGUUUCGAUACCUCUGUGCCGCCGUUAAACACAAAUAAAGUACCCCGCCUGGGGAGUACGGUCGCAAGAUUAAAACUCAAAGGAAUUGACGGGGGCCCGCACAAGCAGCGGAGCAUGUGGUUUAAUUCGAAGCAACGCGAAGAACCUUACCUAGACUUGACAUCUCCUGCAUUACCCUUAAUCGGGGAAGUCCCUUCGGGGACAGGAAGACAGGUGGUGCAUGGUUGUCGUCAGCUCGUGUCGUGAGAUGUUGGGUUAAAGUCCCGCAACGAGCGCAACCCUUAUUGUUAGUUGCUACCAUUUAGUUGAGCACUCUAGCGAGACUGCCCGGGUUAACCGGGAGGAAGGGGGGGAUGACGUCAAAUCAUCAUGCCCCUUAUGUCUAGGGCUACACACGUGCUACAAUGGUGAGUACAAAAAGAUGCGAGACCGUGAGGUGGAGCCAAACUUUUAAAACUCAUCCCAGUUCGGAUUGUAGGCUGAAACUCGCCUACAUGAAGCCGGAGUUGCUAGUAAUC
RNAcentral lists this ribosomal RNA (572 nucleotides) under uncultured bacterium. RNAcentral's name for it is "bacterial SSU rRNA". It matches the Rfam family "Bacterial small subunit ribosomal RNA", at positions 775 to 1343 of the family's 1533-position model. The record is from RNAcentral.